AGCAGUCGCCGCGGUAAUACGUAGGUGGCAAGCGUUGUCCGGAACUAUUGGGCGUAAAGGGCUCGCAGGCGGUUUCUUAAGUCUGAUGUGAAAGCCCCCGGCUCAACCGGGGAGGGUCAUUGGAAGCUGGGAAACUUGAGUGCAGAAGAGGAGAGUGGAAUUCCACGUGUAGCGGUGAAAUGCGGAGAGAUGUGGAGGAACACCAGUGGCGAAGGCGACUCUCUGGUCUGUAACUGACGCUGAGGAGCGAAAGCGUGGGGAGCGAACAGGAUUAGAUACCCGUGUAGUCCCUGUCUCUUAUAU
Molecule: ribosomal RNA, 303 nt
Filed under: uncultured bacterium
Lineage: Bacteria
Description: partial 16S ribosomal RNA
Rfam family: Bacterial small subunit ribosomal RNA
Source: RNAcentral